Molecule: ribosomal RNA, 202 nt
Filed under: uncultured bacterium
Lineage: Bacteria
Description: partial 16S ribosomal RNA
Rfam family: Bacterial small subunit ribosomal RNA
Source: RNAcentral
GCAGGCUGCAACUCGCCUGUAUGAAGUCGGAAUUGCUAGUAAUCGUGGAUCAGCAUGCCACGGUGAAUACGUUCCCGGGCCUUGUACACACCGCCCGUCACACCAUGAGAGUUGGGGAUACCCGAAGCCUGUGAGCUAACUUUAUAAGGAGCAGCAGUCGAAGGUAGAAUCAAUGAUUGGGGUGAAGUCGUAACAAGGUAUC